RNAcentral lists this ribosomal RNA (434 nucleotides) under uncultured bacterium. Its description in RNAcentral is "partial 16S ribosomal RNA". It matches the Rfam family "Bacterial small subunit ribosomal RNA", at positions 29 to 506 of the family's 1533-position model. The record is from RNAcentral.
AGCGAACGCUGGCGGCAGGCUUAACACAUGCAAGUCGAGCGGGCAUCUUCGGAUGUCAGCGGCAGACGGGUGAGUAACACGUGGGAACGUACCCUUCGGUUCGGAACAACUCUGGGAAACUGGAGCUAAUACCGGAUACGCCCUUAUGGGGAAAGGUUUACUGCCGAAGGAUCGGCCCGCGUCUGAUUAGCUAGUUGGUGGGGUAACGGCCUACCAAGGCGACGAUCAGAAGCUGGUCUGAGAGGAUGAUCAGCCACACUGGGACUGAGACACGGCCCAGACUCCUACGGGAGGCAGCAGUGGGGAAUAUUGGACAAUGGGCGCAAGCCGGAUCCAGCCAUGCCGCGUGAGUGAUGAAGGCCUUAGGGUUGUAAAGCUCUUUUGUCCGGGACGAUAAUGACGGUACCGGAAGAAUAAGCCCCGGCUAACUUCGU